GACGAACGCUGGCGGCGUGCUUAACACAUGCAAGUCGAACGGAAAGGCCCUGCUUUUGUGGGGUGCUCGAGUGGCGAACGGGUGAGUAACACGUGAGUAACCUGCCCUUGACUUUGGGAUAACUUCAGGAAACUGGGGCUAAUACCGGAUAGGAGCUCCUGCUGCAUGGUGGGGGUUGGAAAGUUUCGGCGGUUGGGGAUGGACUCGCGGCUUAUCAGCUUGUUGGUGGGGUAGUGGCUUACCAAGGCUUGGACGGGUAGCCGGCCUGGGAGGGUGACCGGCCACAUUAGGACUGAGAUACGGCCCAGCCUCCUACGGGAGGCAGCAGUGGGGAAUAUUGCACAGUGGGCGGAAGCCUGAUGCAGUCACGCCGCGUGCGGGAUGACGGCCUUCGGGUUGUAAACCGCUUUCGCCUGUGACGAAGCGUGAGUGACGGUAAUGGGUAAAGAAGCACCGGCUAACUACGUG
This 468-nucleotide ribosomal RNA is filed under the name uncultured bacterium. Its description in RNAcentral is "partial 16S ribosomal RNA". It matches the Rfam family "Bacterial small subunit ribosomal RNA", at positions 28 to 507 of the family's 1533-position model. The record is from RNAcentral.